GUGGGUAUAACUCAAUCUGGUAGAGUAUUAGAUUGUGGUUCUAACAGUUGUGAGUUCAAAUCUCAUUAUUCAUC
RNAcentral lists this transfer RNA (74 nucleotides) under Asterionella formosa. RNAcentral describes it as "tRNA-His". It matches the Rfam family "tRNA". Rfam says of the family: Transfer RNA (tRNA) molecules are approximately 80 nucleotides in length. Their secondary structure includes four short double-helical elements and three loops (D, anti-codon, and T loops). Further hydrogen bonds mediate the characteristic L-shaped molecular structure. tRNAs have two regions of fundamental functional importance: the anti-codon, which is responsible for specific mRNA codon recognition, and the 3' end, to which the tRNAs corresponding amino acid is attached (by aminoacyl-tRNA synthetases). tRNAs cope with the degeneracy of the genetic code in two manners: having more than one tRNA (with a specific anti-codon) for a particular amino acid; and 'wobble' base-pairing, i.e. permitting non-standard base-pairing at the 3rd anti-codon position. The record is from RNAcentral. Lineage: Eukaryota; Bacillariophyta; Fragilariophyceae; Tabellariales; Tabellariaceae.